AUAUGUUUUGAGAUAUGUCUCAUGAUAUAUCAUCUCUAGAAGUGUACUAUUCAACUUUUCUUUUAGUUAAAGGAGGAAAAGAAAAUCACAAAACUCAAUACUAUCAAAUCACAA
This is a long non-coding RNA of Etheostoma spectabile (orangethroat darter), 114 nucleotides long. RefSeq lists it as uncharacterized. NCBI's taxonomy places the organism in Eukaryota, Metazoa, Chordata, Actinopteri, Perciformes, Percidae. The record is from RefSeq and is a predicted model, not a curated record. The transcript has 3 exons.